Small nucleolar RNA from Homo sapiens (human), 132 nucleotides. The record is from Ensembl. Lineage: Eukaryota; Metazoa; Chordata; Mammalia; Primates; Hominidae.
AAAGUACAUUUAAUAGGUCAUUUCAAAGCUGUGAAACCAGGAUCUCUUGAUACUGUGAUUGAACAUUAACGUUCUCCAUAGGAUGCCAUAGUCCUACUCAAUAAUGCCAUGCUUUCCUAAGGUAAUGUAAGA